RNA transcript from Pomacea canaliculata, 1737 nucleotides. It is a transcript of the gene named COP9 signalosome complex subunit 7a-like, with no coding region annotated. The record is from RefSeq and is a predicted model, not a curated record. The transcript has 9 exons. NCBI's taxonomy places the organism in Eukaryota, Metazoa, Mollusca, Gastropoda, Architaenioglossa, Ampullariidae.
GCAAGUUAGUGAUAUUCAUUUUCUUUCGACUGUGCAAGUCUUUCCAUGCGAAUGUGUGCACGAAGGGGAGGCUAUUCUUAUUUCUCGGGUUUAAUGACAUCCGGUUUGUAAUGAGCACUGAUAAAAUCAUGUCUGGAGACAAACCAGCUGCAAGCAACCCACUAGAGCAAUUCCUCCUUUUAAUGAAAAAUGCAAGAGGAGCAGCAGCAGUGAGUGUGUUAACACAGGCACUGGAAGCACCAAAUGUUUAUGUUUUUGGAGAGCUGCUCGAUAUGCCUAAUGUUCAAGAGCUUGCAAAUGGUCAGCAUAGCCCAUACUUUAAUCUACUGAAUUUAUUUUCCUAUGGAACAGUUAAAGACUAUAGAGAGGAAAAAGCUAACUUGCCAGAAUUGACACCUGGACAGUUAAAAAAGCUGCGACAUCUUACAGUUGUUUCUUUGGCAACAAAAAGCAAGUGUAUUCCUUACUCCAUCCUUUUGGAAGAGCUGGACAUACAGAAUGUAAGGAACUUAGAGGACUUAAUUAUUGAGGUGAUCUAUGCUGACAUCAUCCAUGGCAAACUAGAUCAGAAGAACCAACAGCUGGAGGUGGACUAUGCUAUUGGCCGAGACAUCCGUCCUACAGCUAUUACACAAAUGAUUUCUGUACUACAGGAGUGGUGUUCAGGCUGUGAAGCAGUACUAAAGGGAAUUGAGGAUCAGAUUUUGAAGGCAAACUGCAGUCGUGAGUCACAGAAUCGCCUGAUAACACAGAUGGAAAGCGAGGUGGCAGCCAUAAAAAAGACAAUGAAAGCUACUCAUCAACAAGAUGAUGAGCACAUGGUUACAGACAGCCGCACUGACCUGCCUUCAACUGACAAGCCUAAGAAGUCUGCCAAAAACAAAGCGUAAAUAUUGGGUUAAUGCUGCUUUGUUUUUCAAAAUAUCACGAGCAUAGAAGACAGCAUGAAGCAUUUUUUACUGCGAGGGAGCUCAACAAAACUGUGGAAAUGACCAUGAAGCGGUAUCUACAUGAUAAGCAAAGAUAUUGCAGCAUUAGAGAUGAUACAUGAGACAACACAGACUCUUUUUAAGUUUGAUUUUAUAAAGAUGUUUGCAUUCGGAGGCAGACAUUGACAACAAAAUAUUUGUGUGGUGGUGAAGAGACUUAAAUACCCAGCAAACAAUACAUUUACAGAGGAAGCAGUGGACAUGCAUGGUAUCUGCUUUUGCUGAGUGACAUGGUGAAUGUUAUGAGUGUUCAUUGUAAAUUAAAUUUAAAUUCAAACUGUUUCAGAUAUGUUCUGUUGAAAUUCAUGCUAUGUGUACGUGAGUGCUUUUAAAGAAUUGGCAUUUAUCAGAGGGAUUCUUUUGGAGUUUGGGGCUGGUUAAUUCUUUAGAUUUGGUCUGGUAUAUGUACAUUCUGACUGUUGCAUCAAAAUGGAGUUACCAAAGGUCACAUGACUAUAUUGUGUUUAGCCUGCUACAGUUGGCAAACACUUCAGCAAAAUAUUGAGGUUAAUGGUAGUUUGUUUUACCAAGGAAGAUUAUCAAUGGUUAUUUGGUUCAGGAUUGCCAUCCUUUUCAUGUUUGCAGGCUUCUUACAGGUGUGACCAAACAAAAUUCCAGACUUUUAUCCCAAUCCCUUUUUCCACACUUUCUUGAAUCUCGGCAUCCACUGGUAACAUUAAUAUGCUACAUUACUGGUGUAUAUGUAUGUGGUGCUGAUUUGCAGUAAAGCUCCAAAACAAUGUAUAAA